GUGGGGAAUCUUCCGCAAUGGACGAAAGUCUGACGGAGCAACGCCGCGUGAGUGAUGGAGGUCUUCGGAUUGUAAAGCUCUGUUAAUCGGGACGAAAGAGCCUAGUGUGAAUAAUGCUAGGAAGUGACGGUACCGGAAUAGAAAGCCACGGCUAACUACGUGCCAGCAGCCGCGGUAAUACGUAGGUGGCAAGCGUUGUCCGGAAUUAUUGGGCGUAAAGCGCGCGCAGGCGGAUCUGCCAGUCUGUCUUAAAAGUUCGGGGCUUAACCCCGUGAUGGGAUGGAAACUACAGAUCUAGAGUAUCGGAGAGGAAAGUGGAAUUCCUAGUGUAGCGGUGAAAUGCGUAGAUAUUAGGAAGAACACCAGUGGCGAAGGCGACUUUCUGGACGAAAACUGACGCUGAGGCGCGAAAGCCAGGGGAGCGAACGGGAUUAGAUACCCCAGUAGUCC
This 450-nucleotide ribosomal RNA is filed under the name uncultured bacterium. Its description in RNAcentral is "partial 16S ribosomal RNA". It matches the Rfam family "Bacterial small subunit ribosomal RNA", at positions 354 to 796 of the family's 1533-position model. The record is from RNAcentral.